Small nucleolar RNA from Papio anubis (olive baboon), 119 nucleotides. Lineage: Eukaryota; Metazoa; Chordata; Mammalia; Primates; Cercopithecidae. The record is from Ensembl.
AUCAUUAGGUUCUCAUAAGGACUGUGCCACCUGAGCAUGAUGAUUGGGUGAUCACGUGCAUGUGUGAGAUCUGCCACCCUUGAACCUUGUUAUGACGUUAGCACAUUACCCAUCUGACU